RNAcentral lists this ribosomal RNA (525 nucleotides) under Triticum aestivum (bread wheat). RNAcentral describes it as "partial small subunit ribosomal RNA". The record is from RNAcentral. Lineage: Eukaryota; Viridiplantae; Streptophyta; Magnoliopsida; Poales; Poaceae.
AUGCUCCAGGAGGCACUGGGAAGACAUAUGUUCAAGGCGUUGCUUGCUAAGGUGCAUUCAAUGGGUGAGAUAGCCAUUGCCACUGCUACAUCAGGUAUAGAAGCCUCGAUAUUACCUGGAGGCAUGUGUGGUUUCACAAAGCAAAGUGGUACGGCAAAAUUUUCGAAAGAGGCGUCCUUGAUAAUUUGGGAUGAAGUUGCCAUGACAAAGCGUCAAGCCGUGGAGGCGCUUGAUAGGUCACUCCAAGACAUAAUGGGAUGUGCUUUGCCAUUUGGGGGGAAGAUUGUCGUUUUUUGUGGAGAUUUUAGGCAGGUCCUUCCAGUGGUUCCAAAAGGGACAAGAGCACAGGCUGGCCCUUUGUUCUCUGAGUAUCUCUUAAGGAUUGGCAAUGGAAUCGAAGAAACGAUAGGUGAUGAUUAUGUGCGUCUCCCUGAGGACAUCGUGAUCGGUCAUACUGAUGAUGAAACUGCAAUCAAUAGGCUAUUCAAAGAAGUUUCCCCCUCUCUUAGUGACAAUACUAAAUAG